AAAUGUGUGUGGGUAUGGUUAGGGAAAGGUUCCUAUUCACAUUUUUUUUUGCUGUGGAUCUAUAAUGUGUUAUAUUAUGUUUAUGUGAUAAUGAUGUGAGCCUCUCUCUGUUCACGCCUUUUGUAAACUUUGUUCAAAUCGUCUUCGCUGCCAUAGUAUCAUCUAUCGUCCACUUGCAGUUUUUCUUUUCAUGUUAUAUACUUUUGUAUGAUUGUCAAGAUAAUGAUUGUGAUAGCACGUGAGCUGUAUUCUCCCAUCUUAUAAUUGUGGGAUUAUGAUGAGGGUUUAAGUGGUGAAAGUCACACUACUUUUACAUUAUAUAGUUUGAAUUUAUUGUUUUAGACAGUUUGUAACUUUUAAAAAAAAAAUGUUGCAGGCUGGAUAGCCUUAUAAUGGAAGCAACAUCAAUUGUUACCUACAUUGAGACUUCAAACGGUUGCUGUUGGCCAAGCUAAAGUACUUGACAGCUUGUCGGAAACUUAUCAAGAAGAAAACAUUUAGGGACAUCUUCUGGAAAACAGAGAAGUCUCUCUUUGCCUUCACCUAAAACAGACGGAGAUGAAGUGAAUGUUGAGACAAACGCACAGAUUGAUCCGGAGUUAGCCAGACUGAAGACUAUGAACGUACAUAACGCGGCAGCGAUUGCAGCACAGGCAGUUGCAGAGGCAGAGCCUGCCAUGGCAGUGGCUGAAGAAGCUGCAAAGGAUGCAGAGUUAGCAGAGGCCGAAGCAGAAGUAGCUCAAGCUUUCGCAGAAGAAGAUACAACAACUGCAAAGUGGUAAAAACACACACCCCAUUUAUCACACAACUAUGACAUGAAAUCUAUGACAAAGAAAAUGCUUAUUGAUGGUUGUAUUGAAAAUUUGAUUCAACAGAUGAUCCGUGCCUAAGAUGAUGGAGAGAGAAUUAGUGUGUUGUGACUUGUGUGUUCAAUGAUUUCUACAUGGGAACUCUUUUCAGUUUUGCUUAAUCAAUUGAUAGUUGAUAAUAUUUGAGUAUUAAAGUUACCGGAAAAUAAAAUGUUUAUUUAUGCAUAUUUGAGUUGUUCAAUAGAUUCUCGCUAAAAGCGUUGUCACUGGAAAAAUUGCAAAUUUGGAUUGCUUUUGACUGUUCUUCUUAUUAAGAGAUACGUGUUGUGGAGAUACAGGGUUGCUCAUGGUGUAAAUAAGGUGAUUCAUGUGAGAUGAAUAAUGGAUGGCUGAGUUUGGUCCAAGCUCUAUAUUUCUCUCCUCAUGUUUAUGUGAUUUUUUCAAAAGUAGCAUUGGAGUAUGAGAUAUGUGAUGCUCAUAUAGCUAUCCAAGCCAGACUGAUGAGCCAAGUGAGUGCUUUUGUUUCAAAAGCAUAAACUGAGCCACUCUUUGUCUUAGCGCUAACACUUAUCAUUUUUAUAAAUCAGGAAUUGAACUGAUUUGCACUGAAGUGGAGCAAACUCAACUUCAAACUGUCUGACUCUCCUCUAUCGAUGUCUACCGCAGCGAUGACUCUGCUGAUCAAGCCAAGCGCUUCUUCACCAAGCUCAUCGAGAAAGAAGUUUUUUGUUCCUAUUUGCUUUGUGGCCUUCUAAGAGAUUCGUGUCUAAAUCCUAAAAAUAUUUAAUUCGUGUCUGAGAGAGUCACUAAGUGAAACUAAAAUCUUACAAAGCAAUGAACACAUGUGUUCGGAAUUUGAAAUUGUUGGAAGUAGUGAACAAGUUUGAUAAUUGGUUUAGGUUAUAUAGUUUGGAUUUGAAUUUCAGGCUUUUUAAUUAAAAACAGAGUAUUCAUUUAUUAAUAUGUAGUUUGAUUGGUCAGGGUGAUAAACAGUCAAAUGGGGCCACUUCCAUGUUUGCACAACAUAGUAACGUUUAACUGAUGAUAUCGUCCAUGCAAAACUGUAAUGAUGCAUGUUUUCUCUCCUGCCUUCACCGUAUAGUCGAUGAUGAAAGUGGUGAUCUAUAUAGAUCUUCAGGCAUUACUUUUAGGAGUUAUAGGAGAACCCAUAAGGGAUAACUUUAUCGUGUGUAUGAGUUACUUGAUGAGAAGACAUACUUUAGAAUCAUCAGUGGAACCACAGUGAAUUCAUCAAGAUUGAUGCAUAUAGAAUGGAAGUUACAAGCCUCCUAUGGCUGUCACAAGUGCUUUCCUAGAGUAGACAUGGAAUACAGUACAAGAAGAACGAACUUUAUUGGUGAACUGAGCGUGAUUAGGAGCACAGUGAACGACACACAAGGCAGACGACGUAUAAUGGCAUUUACAGCUCAGCAUCCAAAGAAGCAUUUAAUGAAAAAGAUGGUUGGAAACAUGCGCGUGAAGCAGAGACAUAAUUCAAAGAAGCUUUCUUCUUGGUUAAUGAAUGGUCAUCGGGUUUGAGUUUCUUUAUAAUCCAUAUAUAGACAUGACGUGGUGUCACGAAUACUAAAGUCUCCCUCAUUUCCUGUUGAAUAGAAUCUAGCUAAAGGGUUUGUCUGCAUGUUGAGGUUUGUAAUAUGUAUUGGCAGGGCGUCCCCCCCAUAAGGCCAGUGAGGAAAGGGCUUUAGGCCACAAAUUUUCUGAGGCCACAAAUUUUCUGAAAAAUGAUUAUGGUCAAGUGGUUAAAAACAUUAUUUUCACUUUUUGUUUGAGUUGGAGUUUGCACCUUUAACGUUAUGGUUUAUGUUGACUUGUAAUGUUUCCUUCUUUUCUUUUACAUGUGCGUUCCUCUCUUA
This is an RNA transcript of Brassica napus (rape), 2683 nucleotides long. It is a transcript of the gene named telomere repeat-binding factor 1, with no coding region annotated. Lineage: Eukaryota; Viridiplantae; Streptophyta; Magnoliopsida; Brassicales; Brassicaceae. The transcript has 7 exons. The record is from RefSeq and is a predicted model, not a curated record.